CAGCAGCCACGGUAAUACGAAGGGGGCGAGCGUUAAUCGGAUUUACUGGGCGUAAAGCGUGCGUAGGCGGCUUUUUAAGUCGGAUGUGAAAUCCCUGAGCUUAACUUAGGAAUUGCAUUCGAUACUGGGAAGCUAGAGUAUGGGAGAGGAUGGUAGAAUUCCAGGUGUAGCGGUGAAAUGCGUAGAGAUCUGGAGGAAUACCGAUGGCGAAGGCAGCCAUCUGGCCUAAUACUGACGCUGAGGUACGAAAGCAUGGGGAGCAAACAGGAUUAGAUACCCCCGUAGUCCCUGUCUCUUAUAC
RNAcentral lists this ribosomal RNA (301 nucleotides) under uncultured bacterium. Its description in RNAcentral is "partial 16S ribosomal RNA". It matches the Rfam family "Bacterial small subunit ribosomal RNA", at positions 509 to 807 of the family's 1533-position model. The record is from RNAcentral.